Molecule: ribosomal RNA, 468 nt
Filed under: uncultured bacterium
Lineage: Bacteria
Description: partial 16S ribosomal RNA
Rfam family: Bacterial small subunit ribosomal RNA
Source: RNAcentral
GACGAACGCUGGCGGCGUGCUUAACACAUGCAAGUCGAACGGAAAGGCCCUGCUUUUGUGGGGUGCUCGAGUGGCGAACGGGUGAGUAACACGUGAGUAACCUGCCCUUGACUUUGGGAUAACUUCAGGAAACUGGGGCUAAUACCGGAUAGGAGCUCCUGCUGCAUGGUGGGGGUUGGAAAGUUUCGGCGGUUGGGGAUGGACUCGCGGCUUAUCAGCUUGUUGGUGGGGUAGUGGCUUACCAAGGCGUUGACGGGUAGCCGGCCUGAGAGGGUGACCGGCGACAUUGGGAAUGAGAUAAGGCCCAGAAUCCGACGGGAGGCAGCAGUGGGGAAUAUUGGACAAUGGGAGGAAGCCUGAUGCAGCAACGCCGCGUGCGGGAUGACGGCCUUCGGGUUGUAAACAGCUUUCGCCUGUGACGAAGCGUGAGUGACGGUAAUGGGUAAAGAAGCACCGGCUAACUACGUG